RNAcentral lists this ribosomal RNA (668 nucleotides) under uncultured bacterium. Its description in RNAcentral is "bacterial SSU rRNA". It matches the Rfam family "Bacterial small subunit ribosomal RNA", at positions 822 to 1502 of the family's 1533-position model. The record is from RNAcentral.
GUUGGCAAUACAUCGUCAGCGACUGAGCAAAAGCAUUAAGUGAUCCACCUGGGGAGUACGGUCGCAAGAUUGAAACUCAAAGGAAUUGACGGGGGCCCGCACAAGCGGUGGAACAUGUGGUUUAAUUCGAUGAUACGCGAGGAACCUUACCUGGGCUUAAAUGCAGAAUGACCUUCCGGGAAACCGGAAUUUCCUUCGGGACAAUUUGCAAGGUGCUGCAUGGCUGUCGUCAGCUCGUGCCGUGAGGUGUCGGGUUAAGUCCCAUAACGAGCGCAACCCUUAUCGUUAGUUGCCAGCGGGUAAUGCCGGGGACUCUGACGAAACUGCCGGUGUAAACCGAGAGGAAGGUGGGGAUGACGUCAAGUCAGCACGGCCCUUACGUCCAGGGCUACACACGUGUUACAAUGGCCAGUACAAAGGGCAGCUACCAGGCGACUGGAUGCUAAUCUCUAAAGCUGGUCUCAGUUCGGAUUGAAGUCUGCAACUCGACUUCAUGAAGGUGGAAUCGCUAGUAAUCGGAUAUCAGCAACGAUCCGGUGAAUACGUUCCCGGGCCUUGUACACACCGCCCGUCAAGCCAUGGAAGCUGGGGGUACCUAAAGUCCGUAACCGCAAGGAGCGGCCUAGGGUAAAACUAGUGACUGGGGCUAAGUCGUAACAAGGUAGCCG